Xenopus laevis (African clawed frog) is the source of this 1401-nucleotide long non-coding RNA. RefSeq lists it as uncharacterized. Lineage: Eukaryota; Metazoa; Chordata; Amphibia; Anura; Pipidae. The record is from RefSeq and is a predicted model, not a curated record. The transcript has 4 exons.
CUGCUGAACCUUGAGCUUUAUUUACUUUAGACAUUAAGCAGCACUUCCUUGAGUCUCCAUUUCCAGAGGGUGCAGCUUGUAUUUAGAAAAGCUUUUGCUUUUUGAUUCAUUCGGAGUUCGUUUUUUUAAACCUCAUAAUUCUACAUUAUUUUGCUUGAAAGCUGACAGAUGACUUCAGUUUAUGGCUACUGUAAAAGGAAACGCACUCCAAAGAGCACUGGUGAGCAAGUCAUACAUUGCGAGAAUUCCAGUCUCACACAGUGUAUUCUCAGCAAGGAGAUGACAAGUAUUGUGUACUUGAUCUUUAAACAAACAGAAACAGUGAAUAUCCUAAUCCAGAUAGAGCUCUCUCUCUCUCUGUCGGAAGAAGAAAUCGAGAGGACUUCCUUUUCAGAUUAGUGACAAUAUCUGCACAUGGAGUUUCCAUUCAGUAAUCUGGAAGUUGCGUUCAUAUUGAUAGCGUUUACUGUUUUCUCCAUAUUUUCUCUGGCUUCAAUCUACAGUGAACCUGAGCAAGCCAAAACAGAAGACCAUCAUAGUAUACCUAAAGACAGCAUCAGUGGGACCAGAUCCAAGAAGAAACAUAGAAACAGCUCAGCCAGUGUUGGCAUUGUUGAAGCCACUGAGGUUUGUGAAAUAUCACAGAAAGAGAUCAGUUUCCCCAAUGCCUGCUGCUCAGAGCUGAUAUGAGAACUGGUCAGCUGGAGUCAGACACAUGAACGAUGAGCUGAAGUAGAUGCUUCCCCUUGAUCAGCAAACAACUCAUGGAGACAAGAAAAUAAUAGGGGUUGACAGACAGUUGCAUCCCAGACAAGUGUCUUUGGCACCUUUUCAUUCCUGGGCCUCUUAACCUUCUAAUGAAGCACCGCCUGGUUUCUACCAAUAAAAGGAAGCCGGUGGUCAAUCCGUGUCAUGAUUUACAGGAAUUUUACUUAUGAAUUUACAACAAUAUUUUUUACAUGCUCUGAAUUGUGUAAUCCACAAUGUUUGAGAAAACAUUUUUUUUCAUAUCAAGCAAUCAGAACAUUGGAAUAUUGCACCAAAGGACUGUUGUUCCAAGGAAAUCAUCUCUGAAAAGAACUUACCAGAUCUACUGCAGAAAACAGAAACAUCAUCUCUACAUGAUAGCUAGGUGUAAAAUUAUAGAGCAAUAGUGACAACUCAAAAGAUGUACUUAUGCAUCAGUACAUAGAGUAUACCUCAGAUAGAGCCAGGAAUAUUACAUUAUCCAAUGGGCCAUGUAUCCUCAUCCAGUUAGCCAAGAGGCCAUUAGCCCCAACCAAUAUUUUUGUAUGGAUGGCAAAAAUAAUUACUUAAGAUCUAAAUUAAGCAGUGGUUAUUGUAGACAGGAAUGUAGACUUAUGUAGAAAAUGUAAGUAAAUAAUAAUUUAUAUAUGCUGG